Molecule: unclassified non-coding RNA, 310 nt
Filed under: Hevea brasiliensis (rubber tree)
Lineage: Eukaryota; Viridiplantae; Streptophyta; Magnoliopsida; Malpighiales; Euphorbiaceae
Source: RNAcentral
GCUGGAUGUUGGCUGGAAAAGACUGGUUAUUAUACGACACGUUAGGAGAAAGAAAAAUGCUAAGGUCGAUACCUUCAGCAUUUUUUGGUCUGCCUUUGCUCAGUUUCUCCCCAUGGAAAAAAAAUUAUUUACUCGCUUUCUAGUUGUCCAUAAUUGCAGGAAUCAUAAUGGGGACUCACCUUUAAUUGACAUUACACUUGCAUUAGAGCUUCAACAAACCAAAGCUUAGUCCUUAAUAAUUAUAUUCAUUUGCAGAGGUUGCAUUUUAAUCUUUUUUGGAUAUUUUUUAAUUGUAUGAAAUCAGUUAAGG